Long non-coding RNA from Oncorhynchus keta (chum salmon), 818 nucleotides. RefSeq lists it as uncharacterized. NCBI's taxonomy places the organism in Eukaryota, Metazoa, Chordata, Actinopteri, Salmoniformes, Salmonidae. The record is from RefSeq and is a predicted model, not a curated record. The transcript has 3 exons.
GUCAACCAUGGGGAGGUGUAGUCUAACGACUAGGGGGAUGACGUCAACCAUGGGGAGGUGUAGUCUAACGACUAGGGGGAUGACGUCAACCAUGGGGAGGUGUAGUCUAACGACUAGGGGGAUGACGUCAACCAUGGGGAGGUGUAGUCUAACGACUAGGGGGAUGACGUCAACCAUGGGGAGGUGUAGUCUAACGGCUAGGGGGAUGACGUCAACCAUGGGGAGGUGUAGUCUAACGACUGGGGGGAUGACGUCAACCAUGGGGAGGUGUAGUCUAACGACUAGGGGGAUGACGUCAACCAUGGGGAGGUGUAGUCUAACGACUGGGGGGAUGACGUCAACCAUGGGGAGGUGUAGUCUAACGACUAGGGGGAUGACGUCAACCAUGGGGAGGUGUAGUCUAACGACUAGGGGGAUGACGUCAACCAUGGGGAGGUGUAGUCUAACGACUGGGGGGAUGACGUCAACCAUGGGGAGGUGUAGUCUAACGACUAGGGGGAUGACGUCAACCAUGGGGAGGUGUAGUCUAACGACUGGGGGGAUGACGUCAACCAUGGGGAGGUGUAGUCUAAGGGGAUGACGUCAACCAUGGGGAGGUGUAGUCUAACGACUAGGGGGAUGACGUCAACCAUGGGGAGGUGUAGUCUAACGACUAGGGGGAUGACGUCAACCAUGGGGAGGUGUAGUCUAACGACUAGGGGGAUGACGUCAACCAUGGGGAGGUGUAGUCUAACGACUAGGGGGAUGACGUCAACCAUGGGGAGGUGUAGUCUAACGACUAGGGGGAUGACGUCAACCAUGGGGAGGUGUAGUCUAAC